Molecule: ribosomal RNA, 253 nt
Filed under: uncultured bacterium
Lineage: Bacteria
Description: partial 16S ribosomal RNA
Rfam family: Bacterial small subunit ribosomal RNA
Source: RNAcentral
UACAGAGGGUGCGAGCGUUAAUCGGAAUUACUGGGCGUAAAGCGCGCGUAGGCGGCUUUGCAAGUCGGGUGUGAAAUCCCCAGGCUUAACCUGGGAACUGCAUUCGAGACUGCAUUGCUAGAGUAUGGGAGAGGGAAGUGGAAUUUCCGGUGUAGCGGUGAAAUGCGUAGAUAUCGGAAGGAACGCCCGUGGCGAAAGCGGGCGCCUGGACCCCACCUGACGCUGAGACGCGAAAGCCAGGGGAGCGAACGGG